UACGGAGGGGGCGAGCGUUAUUCGGAAUUAUUGGGCGUAAAGGGCGCGUAGGCGGCUUGGCAAGUGGAAGGUGAAAUCCCUCGGCUUAACCGAGGAACUGCCCUCCAAACUGCUUUGCUUGAGGCCGGGAGAGGCGAGUGGAAUUCCCAGUGUAGCGGUGAAAUGCGUAGAUAUUGGGAGGAACACCAGUGGCGAAGGCGGCUCGCUGGACCGGUUCUGACGCUGAUGCGCGAAAGCGUGGGGAGCAAACGGG
This 253-nucleotide ribosomal RNA is filed under the name uncultured bacterium. RNAcentral describes it as "partial 16S ribosomal RNA". It matches the Rfam family "Bacterial small subunit ribosomal RNA", at positions 524 to 776 of the family's 1533-position model. The record is from RNAcentral.